RNAcentral lists this ribosomal RNA (445 nucleotides) under uncultured bacterium. Its description in RNAcentral is "bacterial SSU rRNA". It matches the Rfam family "Bacterial small subunit ribosomal RNA", at positions 331 to 793 of the family's 1533-position model. The record is from RNAcentral.
CCAGACUCCUACGGGAGGCAGCAGUGGGGGAUAUUGCACAAUGGGGGGAACCCUGAUGCAGCGACGCCGCGUGGGUGAGGAAGUACCCCGGUAUGUAAAGCCCUUUCGGCAGGGAAGAAAAUGACGGUACCUGAUUAAGAAGCCCCGGCUAACUACGUGCCAGCAGCCGCGGUAAUACGUAGGGGGCAAGCGUUAUCCGGAUUUACUGGGUGUAAAGGGAGCGUAGACGGCAUUGCAAGUCCGGAGUGAAAGCCCACGGCCCAACCGUGGGACUGCUCUGGAAACUGUAGAGCUGGAGUGCGGGAGGGGCAGGCGGAAUUCCUAGUGUAGCGGUGAAAUGCGUAGAUAUUAGGAGGAACACCGGCGGCGAAGGCGGCCUGCUGGACCGUAACUGACGUUGAGGCUCGAAAGCGUGGGGAGCAAACAGGAUUAGAUACCCUAGUAG